This 118-nucleotide ribosomal RNA is filed under the name Sitophilus oryzae (rice weevil). Lineage: Eukaryota; Metazoa; Arthropoda; Insecta; Coleoptera; Curculionidae. The record is from RNAcentral.
UGUAACGGCCAUACCACGUUGGAUCACCAGUUCCCGUUCGAUCACUGAAGUUAAGCAACGUCGGGCGCGGUUAGUACUUGGAUGGGUGACCGCUUGGGAACCCCGCGUGCCGUUAUUU